GGAGGAAGGGAGGAAGGGGAGAGAAACACAAUGUUACCCCAGGCCCAGCCCAGCCCUGCCCCUCUAGUCCUGGGGCUGUGCCUGUGACCCGCCCCCCACCACCACCAUCACAGGCCUGGACCCUGAUGGAUCCUCAGGUGGAGUGGGGGAGCCCUGGGCCAGGCUGGGAGGACUUGGCUCUAGGGGGAAGUCAGGGCUUAAUGGGAAGAGCCCUGGGCUGAACCGCCUCCACAUUCUAGGCUGGACUGGGAGGAGUGGCAGGUGAAGACAGGCCAGGAUAUUUCCAGUCUGGGCAUGGGCUGCUGCCAAGGAAGCAGAUUCAGGCUGAGAGGCAUCAGUUUCGCAGUGUAAGGAAGGCCUGUUGUUCACAAGGUAACUUACAGCUCAGGAAGGGGCGUGGGGGACCUACAGCGUAGAGUAGAGUUCCACAAUCAGGCCUGUGGAGUGUGGGACCAAAUCUGCACCUCCCCCUACGUUUGGGGAUGACCCUGCAAGCUAAGGGUUGCGUUUUACAUUUUUUAAUUGUUGGGGAGGAAAAAACCACAAGAAGAUUCUAUGCCCCGUGAAAAUAUAUGAAGUUUAAAUUUCUAUGUCCAUACAGUUUUAGGGGAACACAGCCGUGCCUUUUUUUUUUUUUUUCUUUCUUACUUUCUUUUAACAUAUUGACUUCAGCUGCUUUUGCAGAGCAGCUGCAACAGAGACCAUACAGCCCACAAAGCCUGAAAUGUGCGCUCUCUGGCCCUUGACAGAAAACCUUUACCAACUAACUCCUGCUUUACAGUGUGCUUGGUGCUUGUUCGUUCGCGAAGAACUCUGUGGCUUAUAUGGUGCUUUACAGUUUACAAUGCCGCUAUCCUUUUCAAGGGACUAGGGGAUACAUGGUGUGUUUAGACUUUGGAAAGUGCUUUGCAAGGGCACCACUGUUUACAAAAUGCCUUACCACGGAUAAAGUGCUACCUACCGUUUACCAAGCCCUCCACUUUUCAAGGCGCUUUAGAGUUUAUAAAUGGCUUUACUGUUUCCCAGAGGCACAGCUGUCUAUAAAGAACUCUGGAAUGUUGAA
This is a long non-coding RNA of Mustela lutreola (European mink), 1063 nucleotides long. RefSeq lists it as uncharacterized. The record is from RefSeq and is a predicted model, not a curated record. Lineage: Eukaryota; Metazoa; Chordata; Mammalia; Carnivora; Mustelidae. The transcript has 2 exons.